This 137-nucleotide ribosomal RNA is filed under the name uncultured bacterium. Its description in RNAcentral is "partial 16S ribosomal RNA". It matches the Rfam family "Bacterial small subunit ribosomal RNA", at positions 355 to 509 of the family's 1533-position model. The record is from RNAcentral.
UGGGGAAUAUUGCACAAUGGGGGAAACCCUGAUGCAGCGACGCCGCGUGAGCGAUGAAGUAUUUCGGUAUGUAAAGCUCUAUCAGCAGGGAAGAAAAUGACGGUACCUGACUAAGAAGCCCGGGCUAACUACGUGCC